AAAAUCAGGGCUAUAAAAACUCUCUCUUUAGGCCUAAUUUUCCAAGUUCACUAUCUUUUUUUCAUCAGGUUUGCUCUCAAGAUUCUCGAUCUCACCCUCCUCUCCCCUCCUCUCCUCUCUUCUCUGGCAGCGAUGGAACGGCUCUCCUCUUUGGCGGCGAUCCAAGCCGGAUGCGAGAGCUAUAAGCCUAAAUCCAUGCAAUGGAACGCCUCUCCUCUUUGGCGGCGAUCCAAGCCGGAUGCGAGAUCUAUAAGCCUGAAUCCAUGGUGAGCCAAGAGACGCACAAACCCAGCCCCAGUGAAGUAUAUGAGGAACAGUCAAAGUUUUGAGAAGUCAGCCCACAUGUCUCACGCAUGAGACUAGUUUUCGCCCUUUUGUUCCUUUGUUAAAUUUUUGCUAUGUUGGUGAAAACUUUGGAUCACCUUUGUAUAUAUAUGCUUUUGGUUUGGCUGACUAUGACUUGAAUGAUCUUGUUGUAUAAAGCUUAUAUGUUAACUUCCUUUGAUGUAGGUUAUUAACGAAUAUAUAUGAAAUGUUAUGACGUGUCAUGUAAGCACAGCUCUAUGGACAAAAGUUUUAAGUUUGCUU
Camellia sinensis is the source of this 588-nucleotide non-coding RNA. The record is from RefSeq and is a predicted model, not a curated record. NCBI's taxonomy places the organism in Eukaryota, Viridiplantae, Streptophyta, Magnoliopsida, Ericales, Theaceae.